GACGAACCGUGCGAACGUUAUUCGGAAUCACUGGGCUUAAAGGGCGCGUAGGCGGGCCAUCAAGUCAGAGGUGAAAGCCCCCGGCUCAACCGGGGAAGUGCCUUUGAUACUGAUGGUCUCGAGGGGGAUAGGGGCGUGCGGAACUUCCGGUGGAGCGGUGAAAUGCGUAGAUAUCGGAAGGAACACCGGUGGCGAAAGCGGCGCGCUGGAUCCCUUCUGACGCUGAGGCGCGAAAGCCAGGGGAGCGAACGGG
Molecule: ribosomal RNA, 253 nt
Filed under: uncultured bacterium
Lineage: Bacteria
Description: partial 16S ribosomal RNA
Rfam family: Bacterial small subunit ribosomal RNA
Source: RNAcentral